GACAGAGGGUGCAAACGUUGUUCGGAAUUACUGGGCGUAAAGCGUGUGUAGGCGGCCACGCAAGUCGGAUGUGAAAGCCCCGGGCUCAACCCGGGAAGUGCACCCGAAACUGCGUGGCUUGAGUAUCGGAGAGGUUGGUGGAAUUCUCGGUGUAGAGGUGAAAUUCGUAGAUAUCGAGAGGAACACCGGUGGCGAAGGCGGCCAACUGGACGAAUACUGACGCUGAGACACGAAAGCGUGGGGAGCAAACAGG
Molecule: ribosomal RNA, 253 nt
Filed under: uncultured bacterium
Lineage: Bacteria
Description: partial 16S ribosomal RNA
Rfam family: Bacterial small subunit ribosomal RNA
Source: RNAcentral